RNAcentral lists this long non-coding RNA (950 nucleotides) under Canis lupus familiaris (dog). RNAcentral's name for it is "lncRNA (ENSCAFG00000052495.1)". The record is from RNAcentral. Lineage: Eukaryota; Metazoa; Chordata; Mammalia; Carnivora; Canidae.
CAAUCAAGAGGUUUCACCUAAACUUCUAGAAAGGAAGGUGAAAUAAAGUCUCAUCUAUACCUUUUUUGAUGUACACAGGACAUUUGUUGACUACUGUAGACAGCAUGGAAAAGUUCAACAUCAUAGAAUCUAAAGACCUGUGUGGACCUGGCCAAGCUGACCAAGUCCAGAGAAAAUGUCCCUUGAAGUAGGUAUAUUUUGGGUUCAUUUGAUAAUAAGAUGAAGAAUAGAGCUUUGUCAACUAUAAAGCACCAUGAAAAAUUGAGAAUUAAUAUUUCUACCUUAUGAAUAUAUUCAAGAUGAUCCCUUACUUGGAGAUAAUGGCUCAGAGAGAUUAUUUAAAGAGAAAACUGGAAAUAUUUUGACAUUUUUUAUGUGUUGGGGAUGACAGGAAGCCAAAGAUGUUACAUUUUCAAGGGAGAAUCUAGGAUUCAGCAUAUUUUACAUUCAACCAAGGAGUUCCAAGAUGGGUACAUGCAGGGAGAAUGGAGACUAAAGCCUUUGGCCAAUAUGGUAUUUUUUUUUUCUUUUAAACAACUUUAACUGAUAUAUAAUUUAUAUAUCCUUAAAUUAACUCAUUUUAACUGUACUAUUUACUGAACUUUAUUUAGAGAGUCUUGCCACCAGUUUUGCACUCUAACUUGAGAAUAUUUAUAUCAUCCAUCACAAAAAAUACUAGUGUCUGUUUGCAGUCACUCCUUUUUCCCCACACUCUACCCCAGGCAACCACAAAUCUUCUGUCUCUAUAAUUUCACUCUUUCUGGACAUUUCCUAUAAAUGUAACCAUAUGAUACGUAGCCUUUUUGUAAGCAUAUAGUUUUUGAGGUUUAUUCAUGUUGUAGAAGAUGUCAGUACUUGGUUUCUUUUAAUUACCAAAUAGUAUUCUAUCGAAUGGAUAUACUACAUUUUGUUUAUCCAUUGCCUGGUUGAUGGAUAUUGGGUUGUUUCCC